GUCUUUUUGUAAGUAUAAAAAGUCCSGUCUGCCCACUGAUGAGAAUAUUAAAGGGCCGCAGUAUUUUAACUGUGCAAAGGUAGCAUAAUCACUAGUUCUUUAAUUGAGAUCUUGAAUGAAUGAUUAGACAAAAAAAUUACUGUCUUUAUAAUAAUAAUUGAAUUUAACUUUUAAGUGAAAAGGCUUAAAUAGUUUGAAGUGACGAUAAGACCCUAUAAAGCUUAAUAUUAUUAUAAAAUUUUUGGUAAGUUAAAUAUAAAGGUUUAAGGUUUAUUAAUAUUUUAUUGGGGCGAUAGAAGUAAAAGGCUUAAUAACUGCUUUUUUUUUAAUCAAGUAUAAGUGAUUAAUAUAUAAAUGAUCUUAUUUUAUAGAGUAAAAGAUUAAGUUACUUUAGGGAUAACAGCGUUAUUUUUCUUGAGAGUUCUUAUCGAAAGAAAAGAUUGCGACCUCGAUGUUGAAUUAAAAUAUCUAUAUAAUUGUAGUAGUUAUAUGAGAAGGUCUGUUCGACCUUUAAAUUUUUACGUGAUUUGAGUUCAGACCGGUUUAAACCAGGUCGGUUUCUAUCUUUUAAUUAGAUUGUAAUUAUUU
RNAcentral lists this ribosomal RNA (588 nucleotides) under Opecarcinus peliops. Its description in RNAcentral is "partial ribosomal RNA". The record is from RNAcentral. Lineage: Eukaryota; Metazoa; Arthropoda; Malacostraca; Decapoda; Cryptochiridae.